AUUGAACGCUGGCGGAAUGCUUUACACAUGCAAGUCGAACGGUAGAGGGGGCAACCCCUUGAGAGUGGCGAACGGGUGAGUAAUAUAUCGGAACGUGCCCAGUCGUGGGGAUAACGUAGCGAAAGCUACGCUAAUACCGCAUACGAUCUAUGGAUGAAAGCGGGGGAUCGCAAGACCUCGCGCGAUUGGAGCGGCCGAUAUCAGAUUAGGUAGUUGGUGAGGUAAAGGCUCACCAAGCCGACGAUCUGUAGCUGGUCUGAGAGGACGACCAGCCACACUGGGACUGAGACACGGCCCAGACUCCUACGGGAGGCAGCAGUGGGGAAUUUUUGGACAAUGGGCGCAAGCCUGAUCCAGCAAUGCCGCGUGCAGGAUGAA
RNAcentral lists this ribosomal RNA (378 nucleotides) under uncultured bacterium. RNAcentral's name for it is "bacterial SSU rRNA". It matches the Rfam family "Bacterial small subunit ribosomal RNA", at positions 30 to 412 of the family's 1533-position model. The record is from RNAcentral.